Small nucleolar RNA from Passer domesticus (house sparrow), 124 nucleotides. RefSeq annotates it as small nucleolar RNA SNORA26. The record is from RefSeq and is a predicted model, not a curated record. The transcript has a single exon. Lineage: Eukaryota; Metazoa; Chordata; Aves; Passeriformes; Passeridae.
UUGCCCUCCCGGAGCUUGGCGGUGCUCCGGGGAGUCAACACAGGGGGAUAGAGCAGCUUUCCCUCACUAAAACCCAGUGCGGAGCCCUUCCCCUCCGCCCUGCAUCCUGUCGUGAGGCACAGAU